Non-coding RNA from Podarcis lilfordi (Lilford's wall lizard), 169 nucleotides. NCBI's taxonomy places the organism in Eukaryota, Metazoa, Chordata, Lepidosauria, Squamata, Lacertidae. The record is from the annotation of a GenBank genome assembly.
GCAACUCUCCGCAAGCUGUGGGAGCCCGGCACCGGGCUCCCGCGCUGUGCGGAGAGCUGCGCAAAGUCUGGGCGUGCUGAGCUCAGCGCGCCCAGGCUUCAGCAUGCAGGCAACUCUCCGCAAGCCGUGGAAGCCCAGCACUGGGCUCCCGUUCUUUGCAGAGAGUUGC